CGGAUAUAUCACGUUGAAAUACCGGUUCCGAUAUGAUCACCUAAGUUAAGCAGCCUCAAGCCUGAUCACUACCUAGAUGGGUGACUGCUUGGGAAUGUCACGUGG
Molecule: non-coding RNA, 105 nt
Organism: Acanthosepion pharaonis
Lineage: Eukaryota; Metazoa; Mollusca; Cephalopoda; Sepiida; Sepiidae
Source: the annotation of a GenBank genome assembly